This 1282-nucleotide ribosomal RNA is filed under the name Chryseobacterium gleum. RNAcentral's name for it is "bacterial SSU rRNA". It matches the Rfam family "Bacterial small subunit ribosomal RNA", at positions 116 to 1405 of the family's 1533-position model. Lineage: Bacteria; Pseudomonadati; Bacteroidota; Flavobacteriia; Flavobacteriales; Weeksellaceae. The record is from RNAcentral.
CGUGUGCAACCUGCCUUUAUCAGGGGGAUAGCCUUUCGAAAGGAAGAUUAAUACCCCAUAAUAUAUUGAGUGGCAUCACUUAAUAUUGAAAACUCCGGUGGAUAGAGAUGGGCACGCGCAAGAUUAGAUAGUUGGUGAGGUAACGGCUCACCAAGUCUGCGAUCUUUAGGGGGCCUGAGAGGGUGAUCCCCCACACUGGUACUGAGACACGGACCAGACUCCUACGGGAGGCAGCAGUGAGGAAUAUUGGACAAUGGGUGCGAGCCUGAUCCAGCCAUCCCGCGUGAAGGACGACGGCCCUAUGGGUUGUAAACUUCUUUUGUAUAGGGAUAAACCUACUCUCGUGAGAGUAGCUGAAGGUACUAUACGAAUAAGCACCGGCUAACUCCGUGCCAGCAGCCGCGGUAAUACGGAGGGUGCAAGCGUUAUCCGGAUUUAUUGGGUUUAAAGGGUCCGUAGGCGGAUCUGUAAGUCAGUGGUGAAAUCUCACAGCUUAACUGUGAAACUGCCAUUGAUACUGCAGGUCUUGAGUGUUGUUGAAGUAGCUGGAAUAAGUAGUGUAGCGGUGAAAUGCAUAGAUAUUACUUAGAACACCAAUUGCGAAGGCAGGUUACUAAGCAACAACUGACGCUGAUGGACGAAAGCGUGGGGAGCGAACAGGAUUAGAUACCCUGGUAGUCCACGCCGUAAACGAUGCUAACUCGUUUUUGGGUUUUCGGAUUCAGAGACUAAGCGAAAGUGAUAAGUUAGCCACCUGGGGAGUACGAACGCAAGUUUGAAACUCAAAGGAAUUGACGGGGGCCCGCACAAGCGGUGGAUUAUGUGGUUUAAUUCGAUGAUACGCGAGGAACCUUACCAAGGCUUAAAUGGGAAAUGACAGGCUUAGAAAUAGGCUUUUCUUCGGACAUUUUUCAAGGUGCUGCAUGGUUGUCGUCAGCUCGUGCCGUGAGGUGUUAGGUUAAGUCCUGCAACGAGCGCAACCCCUGUCACUAGUUGCCAUCAUUAAGUUGGGGACUCUAGUGAGACUGCCUACGCAAGUAGAGAGGAAGGUGGGGAUGACGUCAAAUCAUCACGGCCCUUACGCCUUGGGCCACACACGUAAUACAAUGGCCGGUACAGAGGGCAGCUACACUGCGAAGUGAUGCAAAUCUCGAAAGCCGGUCUCAGUUCGGAUUGGAGUCUGCAACUCGACUCUAUGAAGCUGGAAUCGCUAGUAAUCGCGCAUCAGCCAUGGCGCGGUGAAUACGUUCCCGGGCCUUGUACACACCGCCCGUCAAGCCAU